RNAcentral lists this small RNA (3019 nucleotides) under Arabidopsis thaliana (thale cress). RNAcentral's name for it is "ATSL204380". Lineage: Eukaryota; Viridiplantae; Streptophyta; Magnoliopsida; Brassicales; Brassicaceae. The record is from RNAcentral.
AUAUUAGGAUAAGGUUGCGGUUUAAGUUCUUAUACUCAAUCAUACACAUGACAUCAAUUUAUAUUCGACUCCAAAACACUAACCAAGCGUCUUCGUGCUUCUCAAAGCUUUGAUGGUUUAGCCAAAGUCCAUAUGAGUCUUUAUCUUUGUAUCUUCUACGAAGGAAACACUACUUAGGCCUUUAGGAUAAGGUUGCGGUUUAAGUUCUUAUAAUCAAUCAUACACAUGACAUCAAGUCAUAUUUGACUCCAAAACAAUAACCAAGCUUCUUCGUGCUUCUCAAAGCUUUGAUAGUUUAGCCAAAGUCCAUAUGAGUCUUUGUCUUUGUAUCUUCUAACAAGGAAACACUACUUAGGCUUUUAGGAUAUGGUUAUUGUUUAAGUUCUUAUACUCAAUCAUACACAUGACAUCAAGUCAUAUUCGACUCCAAAACACUAAUCAAGCUUCUUCUUGCUUCUCAAAGCUUUGAUGAUUUAGCUGAAGUCCAUAUGAGUCUUUAUCUUUGUAUCUUCUAACAAGGACACACUACUUAGGCUUUUACGAUAAGGUUGCAGUUUAAGUUCUUAUACUCAAUCAUACACAUCACAUCAAGUCAUAUUCGACUCCAAAACACUAACCAAGCUUCUUUGCUUCUCAAAGCUUUGAUGGUUUAGCCGAAGUCCAUAUGAGUCGUUGUAUUUGUAUCUUCUAACAAGGAAACACUACUUAGGCUUUCAGGAUAAGAUUGUUGUUUAAGUUCUUAUACUCAAUCAUACACAUGACAUAAAGUCAUAUUGAUAGUAGGAUUUUUGUCAAUUAAUCCCUAAAACACUAUCUUGUUGUUGUAGUAUUUUAGGAUGUCAAUCCAAUCCGGUGUGAUGCAAACUGAUGAGAUAUGAUCAGAAAGCUCUAAGUCAAGCCAAGCAGAAAGUUGGUUGGUUCUAACAGUCCUAGUAUGCAAUAACAGAAAUGAAGUGAAACUAAAAGCAGGAAUGGCAAUAGCAGGCAAGUGAAUGACAAAGCAGAAAUGAUAACAGGCAAUCAAAUGGAUAAACGAUUCCUAAGGAUGGGGUAAUCGAAUAGUGUGGUCUACUUAAUCUAUUCAGGCGGCUGACAAAACUUCACAGAAGCUAUCCCUAGACAACAAGUUCAACAACAGAUUAAUUCACUCCCGUGAUAGAAAUCCUCAAGCAAAGCUAGACACUGACCUAAAUCCCUUUAGCGAUCUCUAACUAAGCAGGCAUUAUCGAAUCAACAUGUUAAAGUCAAUACCCUCUCUACAGCCAAUCCCUUGGGGUAGAGUCAGAUAUCUCUGGAAUUAAUAGGAUCCAACGCCCAUUAAACGCCUUCUGAGCGCUGGACGUCUGGACUCAUACUCCACAUUAGCCAGUGAAAUAAGCAAUAAGCGCAACUAAUCCAGAAGGGAUUCUAGUAUUCUAAACUCAACCACCUAAAACGACCAAGUAAACCACAACUAUUCUAUCCCAUCCUCAGAAAUACAGUUCACUACUCAGACAUAAUCAAAGACAAUAACAAAGCAACAAUUGAAAACAUGAUAACAGAAAUGACGAAAGACUUAAACGAAAACUGAAUAUCAAAUACUUGAAAACGAAACUACAAAGUCGCAGGAGAAACACUGCGGCUAUCAAAGUUGCGAAAAUGUAAAAGCGAAAUAAAAAGGGAUAAUAGCGGAUCCUAGCCGACGCCCUAGGAAAACCCUAAGAGGUAGUUUAUAUAAGCGAAAAAAUGAAACAAAUAAGGAAACUAAAUAUAUAGCGAAUCUUCACGUCAUGAUCCUGCGACCGAAUGUGUCAUUGGCAUCUGAUGGGCUGAAAUGAGCUUCCUAGUGAUCGAGUAUGUCAUUGAUCAAACUGGGCUUCAGGGGCUCCGUCUUGCGAUCGAGUGAAAUGCAGUGAAGUCGAGAUUGAAUGGUCCAGCGACCUUGUGAUCGAGUGCGAUCGAGUGGAUGUCAUGAGGGUGUGAUCGAGUGGUUUUGAUGGGGUGAUUCCUCCGGCUUCGCGAUUGAGUGAAACUGAGCUGUUUGCUUCUCCGGGGUUGCGAUAGAGUGAUUUGCCCUGGCAGGGCUCCGAGGCUGCGAUAGAGUACUUUUGCUGAAGGCGUCAUUGGGCAUUCUGACUUCAUGUUCUGUUUUUCCUCUGCUUGAACUCCAAAAGCAUCCAAAGUACCUGAAAACACCCAAAUAUGCCAUGCACAUGCAAUCCUAAUGCAAAAUCGUCCAAAGUAUGUAAAACACACUAAAACGACUCCUAAUGAGAUGAAAUGUGGAUGAAACAAUGACAAAGUGGUGAAGAAUGAAUGCCUAAAUCAUGCAAAUUAUAGACAUAUCAACUCCCCCAAACUUAGUCUUUGCUUGCCCUCAAGCAAACAAGAAGACAUAAGCAGAAGGAGAGGUUUGAAGUUGGGGAUUCAGAACCAAAGCAUGAGAUAUGACAAUUAAGAUCAAUGUACCAGCUAACAGUUCUAAGAUGCGAGGUGAUCGACUUCUACUCAAAAACUUUAGCCAUGCUCUGUUAUGAUCCAAACCUACACUCAAAUGCACAAUGCGUCAAGAUCAACCAAUCCCUUUAACAUUCAUUAAGUUCAAAAACAUGAAUCAAGAUAUGCAUCGCUAGUGAACUCAUUUGGCUAAUGACAGGUUAUGAGACAAAGAUGGUCCCUUUUUAGUGGUUCAGAUUUUAAUAGCAGGGGACUCUCAAUAAAAAGGAUUGAGCUUUAGAAGAAUGCUAAAGGUAAGUGCCAACCUAUGCAUACAAGAAUAGCACCCCAUCUACCCAAUGACAUAAACCGUGAAUAACAAGUAGAUGGUCCUAUCUCUAAACCCAAUGAUGAUCCUAAGUCUACCCUUUUGCACUAAAGGCAUAUUUCGAUUUUUUCUUGGAUCAACGUUUCCUUUUCUUUUCUUUGGCUCUUGUUCUUAAGGAGAAGCUUUUCUUAAACUCUAUGAGUCUAGUCUAGUGAGUUGGGUUUUUCUUAAACUCUUAUGGCUCUUAUCAUUUCUUUUCUGUUUUUUUUUUUUUUU